UUAAUAAUUAUUUAUUAUUAUUAUUAUUAUUUAUUUUAAAAUUAAUUAUUAAAAAUAAUUAUAAAAUAUAAAUGUUUUAGUAUAGUAUAUAAAAAAAAUAAUUUUAAUUAUAGUUUAUUAGUAUUGUGAAAUAAAAUUGAAAUAUUAUGAAAAAUUUUUAUUUAAAAAGAAAAUUUUAUUUAUUGUAUCUUGUGUAUCAGAGUUUAUUAAAUAAAAAAUAAUUAAUAUAUUUUUCUCGAUUUUAAAAGAUUUAAUAAAUUAUAAAAGUUAAUGUGAUAAAAUUAUUUUACAUAAUUUAUUAGAAAUGAAAUGUUAUUCGUUUUUAAAGGUAUCUAGUUUUUUAAGAAAUAAAUUUAAUUUAACUUUUAAAAUAUAUUUAUUUAUUUAUUUAAAUUAAAUAAAUUUUAAAAAGUAAUAUUUUAUGGGAUAAGCUAUAAAAUAAAUUUUUAUAAAUAAUAAAUAUUAUUUAAAAUAUUAUAUGUUUAGAAGUAUCAAUUUUUAUUAAGUUUGUUAUAAAUUAAUUUUUAUAUUAAAUUAUUUAUUAUAUUUUAAAUUUUUAUUAAAAUAUUUAUUUAAAUAUUAAAAAUAAAUUAAUAAUGAUAUAAUUAGUAUAUUUUUUUUGUAUAAUUAGAUUUAUAAUUGAAAAGUUUAAAUAAAGAAUUCGGCAAAAAUAUAAUAUUCGCCUGUUUAACAAAAACAUGUCUUUUAGUAAUUAAUUUCAAGUCUAACCUGCCCAAUGAAUUUUUUUUAAUGGCCGCAGUAUUUUAACUGUGCAAAGGUAGCAUAAUCAUUAGUCUUUUAAUUGAAGGCUAGUAUGAAUGGUUGGACGAAAUAUUAACUGUUUCAUUUAAAUUUAUAAUAAAAUUUUAUUUUUUAGUCAAAAAGCUAAAAUUUAAUUAAAAGACGAGAAGACCCUAUAAAUCUUUAUAUUUUUAUUUAUUUUAAUUUUAUAGAUAAAUUUAAUUGUGAUAAAUAUAAAUAUUUUAUUGGGGUGAUAGUAAAAUUUAAUUAACUUUUAAAAUUUAAAUCAUUAAUAUAUGAAUAAUUGAUCCAUUUUUAAUGAUUAUAAAAUUAAGUUACUUUAGGGAUAACAGCGUAAUUUUUUUGGAGAGUUCAUAUUGAUAAAAAAGAUUGCGACCUCGAUGUUGGAUUAAGAUAUAAUUUUAGGUGUAGCCGUUUAAAUUUAAAGUCUGUUCGACUUUUAAAAUCUUACAUGAUCUGAGUUCAAACCGGUGUAAGCCAGGUUGGUUUCUAUCUUUAAUAAAAGUAUAUAUUUUAGUACGAAAGGAUUAAAUAUAUAAAUAAUUUUAUUUUAUAAAUAAGAAUAUAAUUAAUUUAUUUAUAUA
RNAcentral lists this ribosomal RNA (1346 nucleotides) under Rhingia campestris. RNAcentral's name for it is "16S ribosomal RNA". Lineage: Eukaryota; Metazoa; Arthropoda; Insecta; Diptera; Syrphidae. The record is from RNAcentral.